GCAGUGGUGGUUCAGUGGUAAAAUUCUCACUUUCUACAUGGGAAACCCAGGUUCGAGUCCCAGCCAAUGCA
RNAcentral lists this transfer RNA (71 nucleotides) under Loxodonta africana (African savanna elephant). It matches the Rfam family "tRNA". From Rfam's summary of the family: Transfer RNA (tRNA) molecules are approximately 80 nucleotides in length. Lineage: Eukaryota; Metazoa; Chordata; Mammalia; Proboscidea; Elephantidae. The record is from Rfam by way of RNAcentral.